This 497-nucleotide ribosomal RNA is filed under the name uncultured bacterium. Its description in RNAcentral is "partial 16S ribosomal RNA". It matches the Rfam family "Bacterial small subunit ribosomal RNA", at positions 28 to 507 of the family's 1533-position model. The record is from RNAcentral.
GAUGAACGCUGGCGGCGUGCCUAAUACAUGCAAGUCGAGCGCACGGACGAGAAGGAUGCUUCUCUGAUGUUAGCAGCGGACAGGGGAGUAACAGGUGGAUAACCUACCUAUAAGUCUGGGAUAAAUUCGGGAAACAGUAGGUAAUAGCGGCUAAUAUUUUGAACCGGAUGGUUCAACAGUGAAAGAGGGUCUUGCUGUCACUCAUAGAUGGCUCCGCGAUGCAUUAGCUAGUUGGUAAGGUAACGGCUUACCAAGGCAACGAUGCAUAGCCGACCUGAGAGGGUGAUCGGCCACACUGGAACUGAGACACGGUCCAGACUCCUACGGGAGGCAGCAGUAGGGAAUCUUCCGCAAUGGGCGAAAGCCUGACCGAGCAACGCCGCGUGAGUGAAGAAGGUCUUCGGAUCGUAAAACUCUGUUAUUAGGGAAGAACAUAUGUGUAAGUAACUGUGCACAUCUUGACGGUACCUAAUCAGAAAGCCACGGCUAACUACGUG